RNAcentral lists this long non-coding RNA (301 nucleotides) under Gossypium barbadense (sea-island cotton). RNAcentral's name for it is "long non-coding RNA (GBAR_LNC018270)". Lineage: Eukaryota; Viridiplantae; Streptophyta; Magnoliopsida; Malvales; Malvaceae. The record is from RNAcentral.
GACUGUGCUGGAGGACCAGAAGAUUGCAAAUUCAGUGUGCCUGUACCAAAGGGUGGCAGCAAAAGGGGAGUGCUUUCAGGUAACUGAGAACCUGGCAAAUUAGAAGCUGCAGCUGGUAAAGACGCAUUCAUGGCUGGAUAUUGCAUAGGUUGCUGCAUGGAAGAUGGCAUUGACAAGCCAGGUGGGGGUUGAAGCAAAGGUUGCUGCUGUGGAGGAAGACCAUUUGCGGACCCAUAGUAACCCUGCCAGUACAUUGGUAUGGAGAGCCCACUAUUUGCGGUUGGAGCACCUGAUGAACCCC